This 423-nucleotide ribosomal RNA is filed under the name Triticum aestivum (bread wheat). Its description in RNAcentral is "partial small subunit ribosomal RNA". Lineage: Eukaryota; Viridiplantae; Streptophyta; Magnoliopsida; Poales; Poaceae. The record is from RNAcentral.
AUGGGAGCCGUUUUUGCUUUAUUUGUUGGAUUUUACUAUUGGGUGGGGAAAAUCUUUGGUCAGACAUAUCCUAAAACUUUAGGCCAAAUCCAUUUUUGGAUCACUUUUUUCGGCGUUAAUCUGACCUUCUUUCCCAUGCAUUUCUUAGGGAUUUCGGGUAUGCCACGUCGCAUGCCAGAUUAUACAAAUGCUUACGCCGCAUGGAAUGCUCUGAGCAGUUUUGGUUCUUAUAUAUCAGUAGUUGCGAUUCAUCGUUUCUUCGUAGUUGUCGCAAUCACUUCAAGUAGUGGCAAGAACCAAAAAUGUGUGGAAAGUCCUUGGGCUGUUGAACAGAAUCCGACCACACUAGAAUGGUUGGUUCAAAGCCCUCCGGCCUUUCAUACUUUUGGAGAACUUCCUGCGGUAAAAGAGACAAAAAGUUAA